GACGAACGCUGGCGGCGUGCUUAACACAUGCAAGUCGAACGGAAAGGCCCUGCUUUUGUGGGGUGCUCGAGUGGCGAACGGGUGAGUAACACGUGAGUAACCUGCCCUUGACUUUGGGAUAACUUCAGGAAACUGGGGCUAAUACCGGAUAGGAGCUCCUGCUGCAUGGUGGGGGUUGGAAAGUUUCGGCGGUUGGGGAUGGACUCGCGGCUUAUCAGCUUGUUGGUGGGGUAGUGGCUUACCAAGGCUUUGACGGGUAGCCGGCCUGAGAGGGUGACCGGCCACAUUGGGACUGAGAUACGGCCCAGACUCCUACGGGAGGCAGCAGUGGGGAAUAUUGCACAAUGGGCGGAAGCCUGAUGCAGCAACGCCGGGUGCGGGAUGACGGCCUUCGGGUUGGAAACCGCUUUCGCCUGUGACGAAGCGUGAGUGACGGUAAUGGGUAAAGAAGCACCGGCUAACUACGUG
RNAcentral lists this ribosomal RNA (468 nucleotides) under uncultured bacterium. RNAcentral's name for it is "partial 16S ribosomal RNA". It matches the Rfam family "Bacterial small subunit ribosomal RNA", at positions 28 to 507 of the family's 1533-position model. The record is from RNAcentral.